RNAcentral lists this ribosomal RNA (324 nucleotides) under uncultured eukaryote. RNAcentral's name for it is "partial 18S ribosomal RNA". It matches the Rfam family "Eukaryotic small subunit ribosomal RNA", at positions 1470 to 1796 of the family's 1831-position model. The record is from RNAcentral.
CCCUUAGAUGUUCUGGGCUGCACGCGCGCUACGCUGAAGCUAUCAACACGUUUUCCCUCCCUGAGAAGGGCGGGUAACCUUUUGAAUCAGCUUCGUGGUAGGGAUCGGGGCUUGCAAUUGUUCCCCGUGAACCAGGAAUUCCUAGUAGACGCGAGUCAUAAGCUCGCAUCGAUUAAGUCCCUGCCCUUUGUACACACCGCCCGUCGCUACUACCGAUUGAACGUUUUAGUGAGGCAUUUGGACCGACGCAUCUCAGUUUAACCGCUGGUUUGUGUUGGAAAGACUUCCAAACUUGAGUGUUUAGAGGAAGUAAAAGUCGUAACA